This 508-nucleotide ribosomal RNA is filed under the name uncultured bacterium. Its description in RNAcentral is "bacterial SSU rRNA". It matches the Rfam family "Bacterial small subunit ribosomal RNA", at positions 28 to 521 of the family's 1533-position model. The record is from RNAcentral.
GAUGAACGCUAGCUACAGGCUUAGCACAUGCAAGUCGAGGGGCAGCACUAGGUAGCAAUACUGAGGUGGCGACCGGCGCACGGGUGCGUAACGCGUAUGCAACCUACCUUUAACAGGGGGAUAACACUGAGAAAUUGGUACUAAUACCCCCAUAAUACUUCGGGAGGCAUCUUUUGGAGUUGAAAGUUCCGGCGGUUAGAGAUGGGCAUGCGUUGUAUUAGCUAGAUGGUAGACGUAACGGCCUACCCAAGGCAACGAAUGAUUAGGGGUUCCGUGAGAGGAAGAUCCCCCACACUGGUACUGAGACACGGACCACGACUUCCUACGGGAGGCAGCAGUUGAGGAAUAUUGGUCAAUGGGCGAAAAGCCUGAACCAGCCAAGUCGCGUGAAGGAUGACUGCCCUUAGGUGGUAAACUUCUUUUAUUUGAGAGUAAAGAUUCUACGUGUAGAAUUUUGCAAGUAUCAAAAGAAUAAGCAUCGGCUAAUUCCGGUGCCAGCAGCCGCGGU